Long non-coding RNA from Micropterus salmoides (largemouth bass), 655 nucleotides. RefSeq lists it as uncharacterized. The record is from RefSeq and is a predicted model, not a curated record. The transcript is spliced from 3 exons. NCBI's taxonomy places the organism in Eukaryota, Metazoa, Chordata, Actinopteri, Centrarchiformes, Centrarchidae.
AACACUGCAGCACCACAGAACAAAACAUCAGCUGACCGCAGUGUGCCGGAGCCACGGAGAGUAGGUACUGGUUUCGCUCACACUCAGUGUUCCCGCUGAGUUAGUCAUUUGCCACGUCAAUUAAAUUACUUAAAUAACAUAAUCUUACCAAACCAGACUUACUAACUCUUACGUUUUUCACUGCCCUCUCACGGGUCAAACGGAGGGUGUGUGUGUGUGUGUGUGUUUACCUGUGUAGGCUGCUGUGUGUCUGAGUUUGGGAAAAGAGAAUUCCAAGGACGGGUGAAGAUGAAACAGACAUUGCUGACACUCCUCACUGUGGUCACUGAUGCUCCUGGUGGAGCAAGAGAAAGGUGCUGUGGACCAAAGGCAGCAGUCCGAUCCCUGGUGGUGGUGUUUCUUCAUGAGUCCCUUUCUGUUGGUUUGUAGUGUCACGGGUGAUUAGGUAAAGUAUUGUCCUGCUUUGUUUUGGCUUCUUCCUGCAGUGUGGUAAGUCACAGCACUCCCCACCUGCCCUGCCACUGUGCUAUAUUUUUAUAUAGUAUUUGUAGUGUUUUUAGGAUUAAUUUAAAAAAAACCUGCCCUGUGUCUAUUUAUGAACCUGUGUGCCUUCAUUUAUUAAUGUUGGCUGUAAAUAAAAUUUCUUGAGGUGAAA